This is a long non-coding RNA of Herpailurus yagouaroundi (jaguarundi), 1659 nucleotides long. RefSeq lists it as uncharacterized. NCBI's taxonomy places the organism in Eukaryota, Metazoa, Chordata, Mammalia, Carnivora, Felidae. The transcript is spliced from 3 exons. The record is from RefSeq and is a predicted model, not a curated record.
AGUUAUCAUCCCCAUAUACCCAUCCCACCCAUAUACUCAGCUCUAAGAAGCUGCUAAUCUACUUUGUCUUUAUAGAUUUGUCCAUUCUGGACAUUUCAUAUUGAUGGAAUCAUACACUAUGUGGUCUCCGUGACCCACUUCUUGCACCUAGCACAUUUUCAAGGUUCAUCCACGUUGCAAUAUGUAUCAGUACUUCAUUCCAUUGUACGGAUACACUACAUUUCAUGUAUCUGUUCAUCAGUUGAUAGAUAUUUGAGUUGUUUCCACCUUUUGGCUAUUAUAACCUUAUGUGAUAUUCCUGUACAAGUUUUGGGUGGACAUAUGUUUUCUCUUGGAUAUACACUUAGGAAAGGUCAAAUGCUAACUAUGUUUAACCUUUUGUGGAACUGCCAGACUGUUUCCAAAGCAAUGGCAUCAUUUUACAUCUCCACCAGCAGUGUAUCAUUGUGACUUCUCCACAGCCUCUGAUGCCUCUUUGAAGGGGAGCGUCUGUGGCAAUUUUCCUGUCCCUGCCUUGCCAUUGCAUGUUGGGUCAGGGGAGGAGAGCAAAUAAUUUGUGCCUUUAGUUCACAGGUAUUUGGUUGAGAACAGCUGCACCAAAAGAGCCUCAUCUGUACCUGGACCUGACAUGAAUGAGCUCCUGGACUCAAGCUAACAUAGCAAUAGAGCAAGACUUGUGGGAGUCUUGGGUGUGGGCGAGUGCAGUGUGCACGUGUGUGAGUGGCCAGAGUGCGCCCUGUAGUAAACUGCUGUUCUGGUGAUCACCUCCAAUGAACCACCCUUGUAGGUAUCCACUCCUUGUGGAGUUCUUUCCCACAUGGACUCUGGGCUGGGCCGAUUACUGCUUGAACCAUCAGACAAUGACAAAAAUGAUGCAGUGCCAGUUGUAGGCCUAGCCCUUAACUGCUUGGGCAGCAUCCUCUUCUUCCAUUUGGAACCCAGAUACCACAAGGCAACCUAAGCCGCCACUGGGUCCCAGCUGAUCUCCCCAACCAAGACUCGGAGGACCACAGCCAUCCCAGCAUCCAGAUGAUACCGCAAAAAAACAGAACCUCCUGGACAACUCAAUUCCCCCCAAGUUUAUGAGACAAUAUGGCUCAAGAGACAGCUACUAUAGAAACAAGUUAUAUUUAUCUACCCAGUUCCUCAACCCACGGGUUCACAGCACUACAAGGAGAUCUCUCGGAGAGCCAACAGCAGGAACAGUAGGGUUAUGAGGAGCAAGUGAGGUCACACACACCAAGUUAUGAGCAAGGCAGCAGCAGUCAACACUGCUGCCCUACUCCUCCAGCAGUGAGAAGGCAGUCGGUUUCACUCGCGCCUGGAUUUCCAAAGCUGUCUAAGUGGAUUUGCUAACUGAUGGGAGUUAACACAAGAACUGAUCCAAGAACUACAAGAAGUAAGUUUAAAACCUACCCACAGAAAAAAUACAGGGUGAGUAAAAGUUUUAGCAACACUUGUUAGUUGCAAUUCACAGUACCUAUGUUGCAUUUUCUUUCUGCUCUCACAGCCUUAAAUAUAGCCCUGGCACAAGUAAGUAUAGGGAGAGCUGAUAAAAAUGACAAUGCCUGGGGCACCUAAGUGGUUCAGUUGGUUGAGCACCUGACUCUUGAUUUUGGGUCAGGUCAUGAUACCAGGGUCAUGGGAUCGAGCCUUGUA